This 498-nucleotide ribosomal RNA is filed under the name uncultured bacterium. RNAcentral's name for it is "partial 16S ribosomal RNA". It matches the Rfam family "Bacterial small subunit ribosomal RNA", at positions 30 to 523 of the family's 1533-position model. The record is from RNAcentral.
AUUGAACGCUGGCGGCAUGCCUUACACAUGCAAGUCGAACGGUAACAGGUCUUCGGAUGCUGACGAGUGGCGAACGGGUGAGUAAUACAUCGGAACGUGCCUAGUAGUGGGGGAUAACUACUCGAAAGAGUGGCUAAUACCGCAUGAGAUCUACGGAUGAAAGCAGGGGAUCGCAAGACCUUGUGCUACUAGAGCGGCCGAUGGCAGAUUAGGUAGUUGGUGGGAUAAAAGCUUACCAAGCCGACGAUCUGCAGCUGGGCUGAGAGGACGAUCAGCCACACUGGGACUGAGACACGGCCCAGACUCCUACGGGAGGCAGCAGUGGGGAAUUUUGGACAAUGGGCGAAAGCCUGAUCCAGCAAUGCCGCGUGCAGGAUGAAGGCCUUCGGGUUGUAAACUGCUUUUGUACGGAACGAAAAGCCCCGGGUUAAUACCCUGGGGUCAUGACGGUACCGUAAGAAUAAGCACCGGCUAACUACGUGCCAGCAGCCGCCGUAA